GCUCACCAAGGCUACGACGGGUAACCGGUCUGAGAGGAUGAUCGGUCACAGUGGGACUGAGACACGGCCCGCACCCCUACGGGGGGCAGCAGUGGGGAAUAUUGGGCAAUGGCCGAAAGGCUGACCCAGCAACGCCGCGUGGUGGAUGAAGCCCUUCGGGGUGUAAACACCUUUUCUGGGGGAAGAUAAUGACGGUACCCCAGGAAUAAGGGACGGCUAACUACGUGCCAGCAGCCGCGGUAAUACGUAGGUCCCGAACGUUGCGCGAAAUUACUGGGCGUAAAGGGUCCGUAGGCGGUCUGGUAAGUGGAAGGUGAAAUCCUACGGCUCAACCGUAGAAUUGCCUUCCAAACUGCUGUACUUGAGGCAGGGAGAGGUCGGCGGAAUUCCCGGUGU
RNAcentral lists this ribosomal RNA (396 nucleotides) under uncultured Aquificaceae bacterium. Its description in RNAcentral is "bacterial SSU rRNA". It matches the Rfam family "Bacterial small subunit ribosomal RNA", at positions 263 to 676 of the family's 1533-position model. Lineage: Bacteria; Pseudomonadati; Aquificota; Aquificia; Aquificales; Aquificaceae. The record is from RNAcentral.